This 429-nucleotide ribosomal RNA is filed under the name Actinomycetes bacterium. Its description in RNAcentral is "Actinobacteria bacterium partial 16S ribosomal RNA". It matches the Rfam family "Bacterial small subunit ribosomal RNA", at positions 355 to 776 of the family's 1533-position model. Lineage: Bacteria; Bacillati; Actinomycetota; Actinomycetes. The record is from RNAcentral.
UAGGGAAUCUUCCGCAAUGGGCGAAAGCCUGACGGAGCAACGCCGCGUGAGUGAUGAAGGUCUUCGGAUCGUAAAACUCUGUUAUUAGGGAAGAACAAAUGGGGAAGUAACUAUGCACGUCUUGACGGUACCUAAUCAGAAAGCCACGGCUAACUACGUGCCAGCAGCCGCGGUAAUACGUAGGUGGCAAGCGUUAUCCGGAAUUAUUGGGCGUAAAGCGCGCGUAGGCGGUUUUUUAAGUCUGAUGUGAAAGCCCACGGCUCAACCGUGGAGGGUCAUUGGAAACUGGAAAACUUGAGUGCAGAAGAGGAAAGUGGAAUUCCAUGUGUAGCGGUGAAAUGCGCAGAGAUAUGGAGGAACACCAGUGGCGAAGGCGACUUUCUGGUCUGUAACUGACGCUGAUGUGCGAAAGCGGGGGGAUCAAACAGG